GAUGAACGCUGGCGGCGUGCCUAAUACAUGCAAGUCGAGCGAACAGACGAGGAGCUUGCUCCUCUGACGUUAGCGGCGGACGGGUGAGUAACACGUGGAUAACCUACCUAUAAGACUGGGAUAACUUCGGGAAACCGGAGCUAAUACCGGAUAAUAUAUUGAACCGCAUGGUUCAAUAGUGAAAGACGGUUUUGCUGUCACUUAUAGAUGGAUCCGCGCCGCAUUAGCUAGUUGGUAAGGUAACGGCUUACCAAGGCGACGAUGCGUAGCCGACCUGAGAGGGUGAUCGGCCACACUGGAACUGAGACACGGUCCAGACUCCUACGGGAGGCAGCAGUGGGGAAUAUUCCGCAAUGGGCGCAAGCCUGACGGAGCCAUGCCGCGUGGGUGAAGAAGGUCUUCGGGUUGUAAAACCCUUUUAUUAGGGAAGAAAAAAAGUGGAAGUAAACAUCGCCGUUCUGACGGUACCCAAAGAGAAAGCCCCGGCUAACUACGUG
This 497-nucleotide ribosomal RNA is filed under the name uncultured bacterium. Its description in RNAcentral is "partial 16S ribosomal RNA". It matches the Rfam family "Bacterial small subunit ribosomal RNA", at positions 28 to 507 of the family's 1533-position model. The record is from RNAcentral.